Long non-coding RNA from Oreochromis niloticus (Nile tilapia), 182 nucleotides. RefSeq lists it as uncharacterized. NCBI's taxonomy places the organism in Eukaryota, Metazoa, Chordata, Actinopteri, Cichliformes, Cichlidae. The transcript has 3 exons. The record is from RefSeq and is a predicted model, not a curated record.
GCAGAGAGAAGAGAGCGCUUCACUUCUUGAUCUUCGCUGCUUAUCUCGUGGUCUCAUCUUCACCUUCUGCAGGUCUGAUCAGAUUAGCUGGAUCUGGGUCCACUCAGUGCUCUGGAAGAGUUGAAAUCUAUAACUGUAACUCUUACUCUUACCCUUACUAUUCCUGGGGAACAGUGUGUGAU